AACGUAGGACGCAAGCGUUAUCCGGAGUUACUGGGCGUAAAGCGCGGGCAGGCGGCUCUGUAAGUCUGAUGUGAAAGCGCCCGGCUCAACCGGGCGAGGCCAUUGGAAACUUCAGGGCUGGAGGGCAGUAGAGGCAGGCGGAAUUCCGGGUGGAGUGGUGAAAUGCGUAGAGAUCCGGAGGAACACCAGAGGCGAAGGCGGCCUGCUGGGCUGCACCUGACGCUGAACCGCGAAAGCCAGGGGAGCGAACGGG
Molecule: ribosomal RNA, 253 nt
Filed under: uncultured bacterium
Lineage: Bacteria
Description: partial 16S ribosomal RNA
Rfam family: Bacterial small subunit ribosomal RNA
Source: RNAcentral